UACGUAGGGUGCAAGCGUUGUCCGGAAUUAUUGGGCGUAAAGAGCUCGUAGGCGGUUUGUCGCGUCUGCUGUGAAAACCCGAGGCUCAACCUCGGGCCUGCAGUGGGUACGGGCAGACUAGAGUGCGGUAGGGGAGAUUGGAAUUCCUGGUGUAGCGGUGGAAUGCGCAGAUAUCAGGAGGAACACCAAUGGCGAAGGCGGUUCUCUGGGCCUUACCUGACGCUGAGGAGCGAAAGCGUGGGGGAGCGAAACAGG
Molecule: ribosomal RNA, 255 nt
Filed under: uncultured bacterium
Lineage: Bacteria
Description: partial 16S ribosomal RNA
Rfam family: Bacterial small subunit ribosomal RNA
Source: RNAcentral